GAACGGACUAGGUCGGGCAGUUAGGCCCUGCUCGUCACCCGCGCUACGGUCUUCAGCGGGGACCGAACCCCGGGCGCGUCCGGUCCGACCGGCGCGGGCCCCGGGAGCCAACUGAGAAGCCUCGUCCGUCGGGGACAGCGGUCCGCGGCGAGCGUCCGCAGGGACGUGUCGUCGCGGUUGGUCGAUGGAAAUCCGUCAGGCACGGAAGUGAGCAGCGGGCCAUCGGACACCUGUCGCUCGACGGAUCGCGGGGUGGAGGAGGCAACCGGGACUCCCCGCGCCGGAACGCCGGGCAACCCCGGGCGUCCACCA
Molecule: non-coding RNA, 312 nt
Organism: Halalkalicoccus jeotgali B3
Lineage: Archaea; Methanobacteriati; Methanobacteriota; Halobacteria; Halobacteriales; Halalkalicoccaceae
Source: Rfam